AUGGCUGUCCUGCUGCUGCUCCUCUGCCUGGUGACAUUUCCAAGUUGUGUCUUUUCCCAGGUACAGCUGAAGGAGUCAGGACCUGGCCUGGUGAAGCCCUCACAGACCCUGUCUCUCACCUGCACUGUCUCUGGAUUCUCAUUAACUGACAGUUAUAUGCACUGGGUUCGCCACCCUCCAGGAAAGAAUCUGGAGUGGAUGGGAUUAAUAAGGAAUAAUGGAGACACAAAGUACAGUUCAGCUUUCCAAUCUCGAAUAAGCAUCAGCAAGGACACCUCCAAGAGUGAAGUCUUCUUAAAAUUGAACAGUCUGUACACUGAAGACACAGCCAUAUAUUACUGUGCCAGAGACACAAGUUGGGAGGACCUUGAUGUUUGGGGUCAGGGGACCCUGGUCACCGUCUCCUCAGCCUCAACAACAGCCCCAUCUGUCUAUCCACUGGCUCCUGGAUGUGGAAGCACAACCGGCUCCACAGUGACCCUGGGAUGCUUGGUCAAGGGCUUUUUCCCUGGGCCGGCGACAGUUACCUGGAACCCUGGAACCCUGACCAGCGGUGUGCGCACCUUCCCAUUGGUCCAGGAUUCUGGGCUCUACUCCCUCAGCAGCUCGGUGACUGUGCCCUCCAGCAUGUGGCCCAGCCAGACUGUCACCUGCAACGUCGCCCACCCGGCCAGCCGCACCAAUUUGAGCAAGAAAAUUGAGCCCAUCAUCGUACCUCCCCAGUGUCCAUCUAACAUCGAUGUCUUCAUCCUCCCUCCAAAACCCAAAGAGACACUCCUGAUCUCCCUGAUCCCCAAGGUCACAUGUGUGGUGGUGGAUGUGAGCGAGGAAGAACCAGAUGUUCAGAUCAAGUGGUUUGUGAACAAUGUCGAAGUGUACACAGCUCAGACACAGCCUCCUGAGCUGCUGAGCAACGGAACCCUCCGCGUGGUCAGUGUCCUCCCCAUCCAGCACAAUGACUGGCUGAGUGGCAAGGAGUUUAAAUGCAAGGUCAACAACAAAGGCCUCCCAGGCCCUACUGAGAGAACCAUCUCAAAACCCAAAGGGCAACCUAGGGUACCUCAAGUAUACGCCAUACCUCCACCUCGAGAACAAAUGUCCAAGAAGAAGGUUAGUCUGACUUGCAUGGUCACAGACUUCUUCCCUGACGCCAUCAGCGUGGAGUGGGAAAGGAACGGGGUGCUGGAGCAGAACUACAAGAACACCCCACCCAUUCUGGACUCAGAUGGGUCCUACUUCCUCUACAGCAAGCUCACUGUGGACACAAACAGCUGGUUGCAAGGAGAGACUUUUACCUGUUCUGUGGUACACGAGGCUCUGCAUAACCAUCACACGCAGAAGAACCUCUCCCGCUCCCCUGGUAAAUGAGCUCAAACACCCAGCCAGACAUUGGGUCCUACAAGACACUGUUACCAGCCCUACCCCAUAACCCUGUAAAUAAAGCACCCAGAGAUAUCCUGGGAUCCUCUGA
Arvicola amphibius (Eurasian water vole) is the source of this 1471-nucleotide non-coding RNA. The record is from the annotation of a RefSeq genome assembly. NCBI's taxonomy places the organism in Eukaryota, Metazoa, Chordata, Mammalia, Rodentia, Cricetidae.